GCCAAAAUAGCUCAGCUGGGAGAGCAUUAGACCGAAGGUUCUUGGUUCAAUCCUGGGCUUUGGCA
Molecule: non-coding RNA, 65 nt
Organism: Phrynosoma platyrhinos (Desert horned lizard)
Lineage: Eukaryota; Metazoa; Chordata; Lepidosauria; Squamata; Phrynosomatidae
Source: the annotation of a GenBank genome assembly